Molecule: ribosomal RNA, 253 nt
Filed under: uncultured bacterium
Lineage: Bacteria
Description: partial 16S ribosomal RNA
Rfam family: Bacterial small subunit ribosomal RNA
Source: RNAcentral
UACGGAGAGUGCAAACGUUGUUCGGAUUCACUGGGCGUAAAGGGCACGUAGGCGGCUCGGCAAAUCGGUCGUGGAAUCCCGACGCUUACCGUCGGAACGGCGGCCGAAAAUACCGGGCUAGAGGGCGUGAGGGGUCACUGGAACUCCUGGUGAAGCGGUGAAAUGCGUAGAUAUCAGGAGGAACGCCGGAGGCGAAAGCGAGUGACUGGCGCGUUCCUGACGCUGAGGUGCGAAAGCUAGGGGAGCAAACAGG